Molecule: transfer RNA, 40 nt
Filed under: Rhynchospora exaltata
Lineage: Eukaryota; Viridiplantae; Streptophyta; Magnoliopsida; Poales; Cyperaceae
Description: partial tRNA-Leu
Source: RNAcentral
AAAAUCCGUCCGAUUUUUGAAUCAUGAGGGUUCAAGUCCC